UACUCGAGUGGCGAACGGGUGAGUAACACGUGGGUGAUCUGCCCUGCACUCUGGGAUAAGCCUGGGAAACUGGGUCUAAUACCGGAUAUGACCAACUGUCGCAUGGUGGUUGGUGGAAAGCUUUUGCGGUGUGGGAUGGGCCCGCGGCCUAUCAGCUUGUUGGUGGGGUAAUGGCCUACCAAGGCGACGACGGGUAGCCGACCUGAGAGGGUGAUCGGCCACACUGGGACUGAGACACGGCCCAGACUCCUACGGGAGGCAGCAGUGGGGAAUAUUGCACAAUGGGCGCAAGCCUGAUGCAGCGACGCCGCGUGAGGGAUGACGGCCUUCGGGUUGUAAACCUCUUUCACCAGGGUACGAAGCGUGAGUGACGGUACCUGGAGAAGAAGCACCGGCCAACUACGUGCCAGCAGCCGCGGUAAUACGUAGGGUGCGAGCGUUGUCCGGAAUUACUGGGCGUAAAGAGCUCGUAGGCGGUUUGUCGCGUCGUCUGUGAAAUUCUGCAACUCAAUUGCAGGCGUGCAGGCGAUACGGGCAGACUUGAGUACUACAGGGGAGACUGGAAUUCCUGGGUGUA
This 577-nucleotide ribosomal RNA is filed under the name Gordonia sp. WM-GM05. RNAcentral's name for it is "bacterial SSU rRNA". It matches the Rfam family "Bacterial small subunit ribosomal RNA", at positions 88 to 677 of the family's 1533-position model. The record is from RNAcentral. Lineage: Bacteria; Bacillati; Actinomycetota; Actinomycetes; Mycobacteriales; Gordoniaceae.